CUACUACUACUUCUACCACUACUACUACUACUACCACUACUACUACUACUACCACUACUACCACUACUACCACUACUACUACUACCACUACUACCACUACUACCACUACUACUACUACUACUACUACUACUACUACUACUACUACUACUACUACCACUACUACUACUACUACUACUACUACUACUACUACUACUACUACUACUACUACUACUACUACUACUACUACUACUACUACUACUACUACUACUUCUACUACUAUUAUUAUUAUUAUUAUUAUCAUUAUUAAUUAUUAAUUAUUAAUUAUUAAUUAUUAUUAUUACUAUUAUAAAAAAUCAUCAUCGCCGCUUGUGUUCUUUCCGCAGUACCUGAGCAACGUGUAUAGUAUGUCCGUCACGUUGUUCUGGGACGAGUGGAAAAUGUAAUUUCUCGUCGGCUGUUUUACACAAUUUGUUAGCUCCUCUCGUUGCUACGUGUUUCCGUAUGAGACAUCUUUUUAAAUGGUGCUCUUUUUUCUUUUUUGCCUUUUUUCUUUUUUCUUUUCCUAUUUUUUUUUUCUUUUCCUUUCAUAUUCUGUUUCUCUUUGGUUUUUGAGAUUCCAAAAGUUAAAGGAAAUUUAAUACGUAUGUGACAUAAAUCAUUGAUUUAUUAGCUAUGAAAAAGCUAGAUGUAUAGAAAUAAUUAUCAAAAGAGGAAUGCCACUUUUUUAAUUGAUGUGCUCUGUGCCUUCUUCCCUGUUCCGGCUCCUCGUCGGAUCUUUUCUUUACGAUGGAGUGAAUAUAAGAAUAAAAACAACGUGAGUUAUGAGAGUGAGCGAGUGUGUGAUUGAAUGAGAGACAGAAUGAGAGAAUGAGUGAAUGAAUGAGAGAGAGAGAGAGAGAAACAGAGAGAUAGACAGAGAAGCAAAAAGUGGAUGAAUUUGUUACAGCAUAUUUUAUUAUUGUUUAGUUAUUUACAAUCUGUAUAUUAUUAAUUAAUAUUAUGAUUAAAGUAUUUUGUAGAUAACACGCGAGUCUAUGUAGACGUUUUCCACCAUCGCCGAACGAUGAACUUGAUCUCAUCGUCGGAUAGAUUUGAUCUUUCAAAGAUAUAUUUGAUCUCUUCUGUCCAACGAUUUGUUCUUUCUUAGAUGUCUCGACUGAUAAUUUUAUUCAAUCGUAGUAGUAAUUUAUAAUAAUGAAAGGUAAGAGAUGGCAUACAAAAUAGAUCGAAGUUGCCAUUUUUUCCCUAUUUCUUUUUUUUUUUUUUAUUCUUCGUUAAAAUAAAUGUACCUCAUCUCAAAAAUUUUUAGACCAUUAGAAACAUACACAAGUUUCUAAGUGAUGAUUUUGAUUAAACAUUUUUAUUGUUAGUGUUACAUCGUACAUUUUACGAUCUAUACACCGAUAGCGAAUACUUUGUUUUACCUGAAAUUUUUUCCUGUAUUUUCUUUUUUUCCGUUAGUUUAUAUAUAUAUAUAUAUAUAUUAUAUGUAUAUAUAAUCGAUUUAUAUAGUACAAAAAAUUAUUUCGAUAUACAUUCUUCUAUAUGUCGAAUCUACACAAUUUUAUGUUGCUUGUAAUCAAAGUUGAGAUAAAACAUUUUACAACUUAAUUCAUCUUUUUUUUUAUGCACAAAUGAAUUUAAAAAACUUACGUUAUUUAUUAUUAAAUGAAGAAUUUCUUUAUAUUAUUCUCGUGAAAUAGUGCAUGAAAAUACUUUCAUAUUUGCUUAUUUUGAACUCUCAGAUUUUUUAAAUUCUAUUUUUAAUUUCGUAAUGAAUAUUCAAUUUUUUACUAGAACACGAUCGAUAGUGGCUCAUGCUAAUUCAUAGUAUGUCGAUGAAACGAGGUGAUGUCUCGAAUUAAUGAAAGAUCUUUUUGCACGUUUUAAACAUGUCGAUGACCUUUUUAAUUACUCCUCAAAAUUGAGAAUAUAAUCAUCUUGCAUUUUCUUUCGUGAAUAAUCGCGAUAUGAACGAGAGAAAUAUUUUGAUAUUUCUAUUCUAAUAGAAAUAGAAACAGAUCGUACAUUUGUCUUUAUCUACAUUUUAAAGUUUCAUGAAAUAUUGUUUGAAAUGUGAUAUUAAAUUUUAUAAUAAGCUUGCAAAUCGAAAAACUUUCUUUCUUUUUUUUUUCUCUGUGAAUGAUUAUUAAUACUAAUAUUUUAGAAAAUGAGAUAUGAUUUUUUAUUUUCUAAGAUAUUGUAGUAAGAAUCAUAAAAAUUUAGAAAUAAAAAAAAAUUGAUAGAAAUUUAAAACAAAUUAAAAAAAAAAAAGAACAAUUUUUUUUAAGUUGGGAAAAUUUAUUCGAAAUUUUCAUAUCUUUCUUUUUCGAUCUUUCUGAAGGGAUGAAUAAUGCCGCGGUGUUUCUCAGAGAUCAAACGUUUUGACGUUUAUUUGUCGUUUAUUUUUUUCGCUUAUAAUAAUUUUUCGUAUUUCUUUUAAGUAAUUCACGCAGGGGAUAGCGUAAAUACGAAAUCAAGAAACUUCGAAAUUCGAUAGAUGAUACACAUUGUGUGUCCUCUUUAAUAAACUUACUUGAAUAGAUUUUUACGUAUGAAUACAUGUAAAUCAGUACGUGAAUAGUUUUAUGGAAAACUCGGAUAAUCCGUUUCAAGUACACGAUUAACAUACUUUUGAUUACGCUUUCGCUAAGUCUAAAGUUGUUUCAACGGGCGGUUGAAAACGGAGUUUUAUUUAUUUCUUUUUUUUUUUUUUUUUAAAUCUCAAACUCUGUAUACUCAGUCCUUCGUUUCUAUUCGAUUAUACUUUAUGGCUAGUUCAUGGACUAAAUCGUUUUCUUUUGUCUUGUUCGUUUUCUUUUUUCUUUUUUUUUUUUCCUUUCUUUUUUUCCUUUUUUUUUUUAAUCCUUAAGAGAUAUGUAACGCGUUCUUCGUUCUCUUUCGUCGUGUGCGACUUUAUAUUAAUAAAUUUACAUAAGGGCGGAACAAGAACUGUUUCAUCUUUGUCAUUUCUCACGUGCAAUUGAAUAUCUAAAAAUCGAAUGAUCUUGAAUAAUUCGAAGACGAAUAAAGUCACAAUUACACAAUUACAAAUAUGCUUUCGAUUGAUUAUUACCAAAAUAUAAAUAGAGUAUUUUCAUCGUUAUCAUCCUAUAUUGGCGAUAAAAGAGUAUACGUAUAAUAUUUUUUUUUUUAUAUCGAAAUUUAACUAAAAGGAAAAAAGAAAACAACAAUGUAUCAAUGUAUGUAUGUAACAUCGAACAUCUUCUAUCAAUCUCUAUUUGUGCAUGUUUUUCGAUUAAAAAUUUAUUUCAAUGUAGUUGAAUUGCAAUUGAAACGAAGGAAGAUGACAUUAUGAAUGUUUUGAGAGGAAUAGGGAAUAGGGAAAAUGUGGGAAAAUUUCGUACGCGUAUUCUUAAUCCUCAACUGAGUUAUACAUAUCUAAAAUAAUUCGUAGGAUAUUUAAUUCUAUAAAUAUAUUUUCUAUAAAUAUAUUGAUAAAUGUCGUCACGGGAAACAACUUUAUCGUAUAAAACACACGAUAUCAAUCAAGUGUACUGAGUACCUUUUAAAAUUAACAUAACUUAUAUUUUUGUAGAUCAUCUACGAUCCUAUUGAUCGAGGAUUAAGCAUUUUGUAACGAUGAUAACAUAUAUAUCUGAGAUUCGAAAGAAAAAUCUCGUUUGCGGCAUUCGUAAUUGUCUUUCGCUUUCUCUACUGUAUAUUGCAUCGUUGACCUUUUUCUCAACUUUGUGAGAGUACGUAAGUAUUGCACAUACAUAUGCCUUCGACGAUGAAAAACGCUCGUCUAAGAUUGCUCGUUUUUGAAUGUUUUUUUUUUUUAUACUUACGAAAUAAGUUUGCGAUAUUACACGUUUCAUUAACAUUUCUCUUUUCUAAAAGAAAUAAAAAAGAGAUCAUGGAUCGAUUAUAUGGGUACAAAUAAAAUUGGACUUUACAAUUGUGUUUUUCUCUGUUUCAUUCUGUGGCAACCGGCACAGUUCAAAAGGAAGAAUGAUCUUCCUCUUCGAUACAACAACAGCUCACCGAAACGUGCCACGAUCUCCAAAAGAAUUUUUUGAUUUUUGAACUUUUAUCAAUUUUCUCUUCCUUCCUUCCAUCGAUUUUUCAUUCUAUUUUUGUAUCGAUGCGCGGAUCGAAACGGGACGAAAUCCAUUCAAGCAUGAAAGGGAGGAGAUUUCUUUUUUUCAGCAGGAUUUCGGUGAAUCGAUUGUACAUAUCGGCAAGAAUAUUCAAUCAACUUCAAAAAAAUCACACGCAUCGACGUCGUUCCAUCAGGAUUGGAAGAGGUCGAAUCAGAGAGAAAGAGAGAGACAUCAUCGACUGUGGAGAACAAAGAACCAUUUUUCUUGUAUGCGUGGCGACGGAAGAACGCGUGCAGUUUCAAGACUCGCGAAUCCGAAUUUCCGCUGCUGAUCCGCUUCGCUUAUUUACAACACAGAGAAGAGAUCUGCCUACCGUUUACAAUGCUAUCAUAUAAAGGCGAUACACUCGGGGAACACAUGCAUGCAUGGCCGCAAGAUUUAACCAGAGCGGAAGGGGAGGGGGGAAGGGGUUAUCGGCUACACAGACAACAAGACGAACCGAUCGCGUCUCGUCUCGAUCGGUAUUAUCACGAUCCGACGAUGGCGAGCAAUGGUUGCUUAAUUUUAAACAGGUGUCGAUAGUCUAAUUGUCGAUUUGUCGAAAAUCAGUGAAAAGAUUUUCUCAUCCUCCGAGUCGUUAGAGAAUCUCUUUCUCGUUAUUUUUCAUUUUUUUUUUAUUUUACUUAUUAUAAUUAAGAAAAUAAUUAUCAACAUUGGUAUAUUGGAAACCGUUAAUGUUUUCCGUAUAGAUACGAUCAGGAUUAAUGAUUUAUCGAAGGAUGUUUUACGAUUCACAGAUCGAUAAUCUAUUGGAAAGUUACUGAAUUGCAUAACGUUUACGAAAUUGUAAUGAUGUCGCAUCACUCGUCCCCAUCGGAUCUAAUAUCGGAGGGCGAAUAAGGGUACUUGUUGCUUGUUGCUACUUUGUUCGGCUAUGUAUCGAUUUGUUCAAGAAUGUUCGUAAGAGUGUUUUUAACAAUUUAUGCUAAAAAAGUUGUGCCGUGUAUUUGACUAAGAAGAGAAUAAAAUUUGUCCACGAGCUCGUGGAGCGAUUGAAUUUAGGCGAAUAAUUAAACUUUUAUUAAAAAGUAAAUAUCCUAGAAUUGUCAAUUGUCUGGAAUUAGAAGAAGAAAAAAAGAAGAAUUGUACCACGAACUUCUUGAACAGCUCAAUAUUAUAUACACGUAUACCCUCGUUCAUAAGUAUUAAGACACCAAGUCUUACUCUCGUACAGAUCUUAGAAUUUCACAUUCAUGCAAGACAAUGAUCUUAAAUAGAUACAAGUUAGUAAAAAUUAUUUACAAGACAGCUCGUAAAAAAGGCGAAACUAUAUGUAUAUGUAUAUAGAUAAGAAGAAAUUUCAGAAC
This is a long non-coding RNA of Apis cerana (Asiatic honeybee), 5413 nucleotides long. RefSeq lists it as uncharacterized. The record is from RefSeq and is a predicted model, not a curated record. Lineage: Eukaryota; Metazoa; Arthropoda; Insecta; Hymenoptera; Apidae.